GAGACUGUCGAUCAUUUACU
This 20-nucleotide microRNA is filed under the name Ananas comosus (pineapple). RNAcentral's name for it is "microRNA s0700_c92a". The record is from RNAcentral. Lineage: Eukaryota; Viridiplantae; Streptophyta; Magnoliopsida; Poales; Bromeliaceae.